AUCGCUUCUCGGCCUUUUGGCUAAGAUCAAGUGUGUAGUAUCUGUUCUUAUCAGCUUAUGGAGCCUAGUCGGGUUUGUAACCCGCUAAGCCACAACGGGAACUCCCUUAUUUUAUUUUUUAAAUUAAAUUAAAUUAAAUUAAAUUAAAUUAAAUUAAAUUUCUUUAUGGUUGCAUCUGUGGCAUAUGGAAGCACCUG
RNAcentral lists this small nuclear RNA (197 nucleotides) under Catagonus wagneri (Chacoan peccary). RNAcentral describes it as "U2 spliceosomal RNA (ENSCWAG00000009561.1)". It matches the Rfam family "U2 spliceosomal RNA". Rfam says of the family: U2 is a small nuclear RNA (snRNA) component of the spliceosome (involved in pre-mRNA splicing). Complementary binding between U2 snRNA (in an area lying towards the 5' end but 3' to hairpin I) and the branchpoint sequence (BPS) of the intron results the bulging out of an unpaired adenosine, on the BPS, which initiates a nucleophilic attack at the intronic 5' splice site, thus starting the first of two transesterification reactions that mediate splicing. The record is from RNAcentral. Lineage: Eukaryota; Metazoa; Chordata; Mammalia; Artiodactyla; Tayassuidae.